AUGACGGAGUUCCACCCGCAGUGCGUCACGAACGCGCCGGUCGCGGCGUGCCGCAGCACCUCCACCUGCGGCGCCCACAUCUUCACGACCAUCCCCCUCGCGGCCGUCCUAUCCAAGAACCCAUCGGGGAGGAGCGCAUUCAGGUCUGGCUCUGGGCGCGGCAGGAAGUAUUUGGCCGGGUCCUCGGGCGGGCUCCGCACGACCCACAGGAAGCGGUGGCCGGAGUUCUCGAGCCCGCGCGCUAUCUCCUUGAGCUGCGCCGCCGACAUCGCGCCCAAGCUGCCGAAGCAGAGGAACACCACGCUCCGCUCCGGCUGCGCGUCCAGCCACGACAAGCACGCGCUCUGCGCUCGCGGAGCCGCCGCCUCGCCUUUCACGAUCAGUGGCCCGAUGCAGUACACCGGCGGGGUCGGGCGGCCAGGGACACAGGCGCCCUCCCGGAGCGCCCUCACGGCCCUCGCCUCCAGCCGCUCGUAG
This 477-nucleotide ribosomal RNA is filed under the name Triticum aestivum (bread wheat). RNAcentral describes it as "partial small subunit ribosomal RNA". Lineage: Eukaryota; Viridiplantae; Streptophyta; Magnoliopsida; Poales; Poaceae. The record is from RNAcentral.